This 790-nucleotide ribosomal RNA is filed under the name uncultured archaeon. Its description in RNAcentral is "bacterial SSU rRNA". It matches the Rfam family "Archaeal small subunit ribosomal RNA", at positions 85 to 876 of the family's 1478-position model. The record is from RNAcentral.
ACUGCUCAGUAACACGUGGACAACCUGCCCAAAGGUCCGGGAUAACCCCGGGAAACUGGGGAUAAUACCGGAUAAAUCACAAGUACUGGAAGGUUUUGUGGUUGAAACUUCCGGGGCCUUUGGAUGGGUCUGCGGCGGAUUAGGUUGUUGCCGGUGUAACGUACCGUCAAGCCUGUAAUCCGUACGGGUUGUGGGAGCAAGAGCCCGGAGAUGGAUUCUGAGACACGAAUCCAGGCCCUACGGGGCGCAGCAGGCGCGAAAACUCUACAAUGCAGGCAACUGCGAUAGGGGAACAUCGAGUGAUACUCAUCUUGGGUGUCUGUCCUCCCGUCUAAAAAACGGGAGUUAGCAAGGGCCGGGCAAGACCGGUGCCAGCCGCCGCGGUAAUACCGGCGGCUCGAGUGGUGGCCGAUAUUAUUGAGUCUAAAGGGUCCGUAGCCGGCUUUGCAAGUCUUUUGGGAAAUCCAGCGGCUUAACCGUUGGUCGUCCGGGAGAUACUACAUUGCUUGGGACUGGGAGAGGUAGGAGGUACUCAGGGGGUAGGAGUGAAAUCCUGUAAUCCUUUGGGGACCACCGGUGGCGAAGGCGUCCUACCAGAACAGGUCCGACGGUGAGGGACGAAAGCUAGGGGCACGAACCGGAUUAGAUACCCGGGUAGUCCUAGCCGUAAACGAUGCUCGCUAGGUGUCACAACAAUCGUGAAUUGUUGUGGUGCCGUAGGGAAGCCGUGAAGCGAGCCACUUGGGAAGUACGACCGCAAGGUUGAAACUUAAAGGAAUUGGCGGGGGAG